Molecule: long non-coding RNA, 710 nt
Organism: Macaca mulatta (Rhesus monkey)
Lineage: Eukaryota; Metazoa; Chordata; Mammalia; Primates; Cercopithecidae
Gene: GCAWKR
Product: gastric cancer associated WDR5 and KAT2A binding lncRNA
Source: RefSeq, a predicted model, not a curated record
AGCCGUCAACCCUAAUCAGGGCCAUGCCCCACAUCAAAGCUGCACUCCCUCCACAGAGAGCUUCUGCUCUAAGAUGCAUUGUUCUUAUGACUUCCUACACUCGGCCUUGUCUGAUGAAUUAGGGCACGGAGCCCCCCAUGGCACAGCUGGGCCCUGCUGGCAUUGUUAAUGAGGUAGGAAGGGCGCAUUUGUCCGAGCCUGAGACUAACAUAAUCACAUAAAGCUGUUGCUUUGGAAUAGAUGGAGCUGCCCCAGAGUCAAUUUUCUUGGAAGCAAUGCAAAGCAGAGCUUCCUGGGAGAAGACACAAUGCCUCCUAUUGUCUCUGUCACUUCCCCUCCAGCCUCCCAGCGUUUCUGCGUCUCCUCGGGAGCCACUGCCCUGUGCAAAAGCUGUUUGCUGAUGCCCAGCCGCGGUUUCCAAAACCCCCAUGAGAAGUCGUUUCUGUCCAUAGUCAUUGUUUCCAGAACAGCCAAGCCGACUGGGGAGGAGAGGCCAGGCCCAGGGAGAGCAGGAAGAGACCCAGCUUGCAACACAGGCCCCCGGCGGCUGGAGUCGGCUGGUGGAUUGCUGGGGGGCAGCUGGUGCCAGCCCUGCUAGACGUGUCCAGGAUCGGGUCAGAGGCCAGAGUGGCUCACAUCCACGGGCUCCAGGAGGAGGCUCUCGAGGGCCCAGGUUCCUGGAGGAGGACACAGUGUGGAUUAUCCAGUGA